Molecule: non-coding RNA, 23 nt
Filed under: Arabidopsis thaliana (thale cress)
Lineage: Eukaryota; Viridiplantae; Streptophyta; Magnoliopsida; Brassicales; Brassicaceae
Source: RNAcentral
UACGAAUUAGGUAAAUGUUGGUC